UUUCGUUGAUUAAAGUCGUUCUUUUACCUAAUAUUUUCUCAUACUUUCAUAAAACUCUAGCCGUCCUUCUUACUCCAAGAUCUCUAAAAUUCCUUGUGCCAUUCAUCCUUCAGAAACUCUGGUGUUAUCGCAUUAUAUUUGGAUCCGUUUCGUCCUAGUUGUAAUAGACACACGCCUCUACGAUUCUCAUCUUCGUUUUUGCCAAACGACUCUUCGACUACUCGCGCUCCGGAGUCGAAACAGGGUUAGCUGUUUGCCGAAGUUUCACGUGGAUAAGCAAGCAGUUUAUGAUUUGAAAGCUGGUCCACUCCGAUUCUUUUGAUUCCUCGGAGGUUUUUAUGUUAAUUAAACUAGUUACUGUUUUCGAACUCUUAGACCGCAGUAGAACUAGUUUAUAUAUUACAUUUGUUAUUGCACUUUAGGAUUGUCGAUAUGUUCAAUUAUUUAUUAUUAGCAUGUU
Mercurialis annua (annual mercury) is the source of this 460-nucleotide long non-coding RNA. RefSeq lists it as uncharacterized. Lineage: Eukaryota; Viridiplantae; Streptophyta; Magnoliopsida; Malpighiales; Euphorbiaceae. The record is from RefSeq and is a predicted model, not a curated record. The transcript is spliced from 4 exons.